AUACGUAGGGGGCGAGCGUUGUCCGGAAUGAUUGGGCGUAAAGGGCGCGUAGGCGGCUUUGCAAGUCAGUAGUGGAAGUCCAUUUUUCAAGGAUGGAAGUGCUACAGAAGCUGCGGAGCUUGAGUGCAGGAGAGGUUAUCGGAAUUCCCGGUGUAGCGGUGAAAUGCGUAGAGAUCGGGAGGAACACCAGUGGCGAAGGCGGGUAACUGGACUGCAACUGACGCUGAGGCGCGAAAGUGUGGGGAGCAAACAGGAUUAGAUACCCUGGUAGUCCACACUGUAAACGAUGAAUGCUAGGUGUAGGAGGUAUCGACCCCUUCUGUGCCGCAGUAAACACAGUAAGCAUUCCGCCUGGGGAGUACGGUCGCAAGAUUAAAACUCAAAUGAAUUGACGGGG
This 397-nucleotide ribosomal RNA is filed under the name uncultured bacterium. Its description in RNAcentral is "partial 16S ribosomal RNA". It matches the Rfam family "Bacterial small subunit ribosomal RNA", at positions 523 to 918 of the family's 1533-position model. The record is from RNAcentral.